UCCGCUAUAGCUCAGUUGGUAGUAGCGCAUGACUGUUAAUCAUGAUGUCGUAGGUUCGAGUCCUACUGGCGGAG
RNAcentral lists this transfer RNA (74 nucleotides) under Streptococcus agalactiae. Its description in RNAcentral is "tRNA-Asn". It matches the Rfam family "tRNA". From Rfam's summary of the family: Transfer RNA (tRNA) molecules are approximately 80 nucleotides in length. RNAcentral also lists the same sequence under 3 other names. The record is from RNAcentral. Lineage: Bacteria; Bacillati; Bacillota; Bacilli; Lactobacillales; Streptococcaceae.